This 437-nucleotide ribosomal RNA is filed under the name uncultured Oscillospiraceae bacterium. RNAcentral describes it as "partial 16S ribosomal RNA". It matches the Rfam family "Bacterial small subunit ribosomal RNA", at positions 341 to 792 of the family's 1533-position model. Lineage: Bacteria; Bacillati; Bacillota; Clostridia; Eubacteriales; Oscillospiraceae. The record is from RNAcentral.
ACGGAAGGCAGCACUUUGUUCUCUUGCCCCAUGGUUUAAACCCUGAUGCAGCAAUGCCGCGUGAGGGAAGAAGGUCUUCGGAUUGUAAACCUAAGUAGUCAGGGAUGAAGAAAGUGACAUUGCCUGAAGAGUAAGCUCCGGCUAACUACGUGCCAGCAGCCGCGGUAAUACGUAGGGAGCGAGCGUUGUCCGGAUUUACUGGGUGUAAAGGGUGCGUAGGCGGGCUUGCAAGUCAGGCGUGAAAUACCGGGGCUUAACUCCGGGGCUGCGCUUGAAACUGUAAGUCUUGAGUGAAGUAGAGGCAGGCGGAAUUCCCAGUGUAGCGGUGAAAUGCGUAGAUAUUGGGAGGAACACCAGUGGCGAAGGCGGCCUGCUGGGCUUUAACUGACGCUGAGGCACGAAAGUAUGGGGAGCAAACAGGAUUAGAUACCCUGGUA